This is a long non-coding RNA of Etheostoma cragini (Arkansas darter), 343 nucleotides long. RefSeq lists it as uncharacterized. Lineage: Eukaryota; Metazoa; Chordata; Actinopteri; Perciformes; Percidae. The transcript has 4 exons. The record is from RefSeq and is a predicted model, not a curated record.
GAGUAGCGUGACCUGGAAUUUGGGAGAAUUCAACGACACUGGCAGCCAAGUUGACAUUGUUUACUGCCGUUAGCAUGUAGUUACACGGACAAUGUUAACACUACAGUGGCAUAAAAAGAAAAACACUCCAGUCCUAACUCCUUGGAGCAGAUGACCAAUCACAGGAGACCAGCUUAGAGUUGCGUAGCACUUAGCCCAGAGUAGAGAAAACUGUUGAUACCGGAGUGUGCAGAAUAGUUGGAAAUCUGAACGUUUUAGCUCACAGGGAUGUCUCUAAAAUACGUUUACUUCAUUAUUUGAUUUUGGCCAUUGUAAUGUGAAAGGUCACGUUUAAAGCACAAUU